AGGAGGGGGGGGGCUAAUACAUGCAAGUCGAGCGGACGGAUGGGAGCUUGCUCCCUGAAGUCAGCGGCGGACGGGUGAGUAACACGUGGGCAACCUGCCUGUAAGACUGGGAUAACUCCGGGAAACCGGGGCUAAUACCGGAUAACUCUUUUCCUCACAUGAGGAAAAGCUGAAAGAUGGUUUCGGCUAUCACUUACAGAUGGGCCCGCGGCGCAUUAGCUAGUUGGUGAGGUAACGGCUCACCAAGGCCACGAUGCGUAGCCGACCUGAGAGGGUGAUCGGCCACACUGGGACUGAGACACGGCCCAGACUCCUACGGGAGGCAGCAGUAGGGAAUCUUCCGCAAUGGACGAAAGUCUGACGGAGCAACGCCGCGUGAGUGAUGAAGGUUUUCGGAUCGUAAAACUCUGUUGUCAGGGAAGAACAAGUACCGGAGUAACUGCCGGUACCUUGACGGUACCUGACCAGAAAGCCACGGCUAACUACGUGCCAGCAGCCGCGGUAAUACGUAGGUGGCAAGCGUUGUCCGGAAUUAUUGGGCGUAAAGCGCGCGCAGGUGGUUCCCUAAAUCUGAGGUGAAAGGUCCCCGGCCUCAACCGGGGAGGGUCUUUGGAAAACUGUGUUGACUUGAUUGGCGAAUA
RNAcentral lists this ribosomal RNA (641 nucleotides) under Bacillus sp. YMAS3001. RNAcentral describes it as "bacterial SSU rRNA". It matches the Rfam family "Bacterial small subunit ribosomal RNA", at positions 37 to 655 of the family's 1533-position model. The record is from RNAcentral. Lineage: Bacteria; Bacillati; Bacillota; Bacilli; Caryophanales; Bacillaceae.